CUUUCUUUGCUGGCGACCGGCGCACGGGUGAGUAACACGUAUCCAACCUGCCCUUUACUCGGGGAUAGCCUUUCGAAAGAAAGAUUAAUACCCGAUAGUGUAAUGAUUCCGCAUGGUUUCAUUAUUAAAGGAUUCCGGUAAAGGAUGGGGAUGCGUUCCAUUAGGUUGUUGGUGAGGUAACGGCUCACCAAGCCUUCGAUGGAUAGGGGUUCUGAGAGGAAGGUCCCCCACAUUGGAACUGAGACACGGUCCAA
RNAcentral lists this ribosomal RNA (254 nucleotides) under uncultured bacterium. RNAcentral's name for it is "partial 16S ribosomal RNA". It matches the Rfam family "Bacterial small subunit ribosomal RNA", at positions 79 to 334 of the family's 1533-position model. The record is from RNAcentral.